GACGAACGCUGGCGGCAUGCCUAAUACAUGCAAGUCGAGCGGAGUUGACGAGAAGCUUGCUUCUCUGAUACUUAGCGGCGGACGGGUGAGUAACACGUAGGCAACCUGCCUUUCAGUUUGGGAUAACUUCCGUAAACGGAUGCUAAUACCGAAUACAUCAUCUUCUGGCAUCAGAGAAUGAGGAAAGACGGCGCAAGCUGUCACUGAGAGAUGGGCCUGCGGCGCAUUAGCUAGUUGGUGGGGUAAUGGCUCACCAAGGCGACGAUGCGUAGCCGACCUGAGAGGGUGAACGGCCACACUGGGACUGAGACACGGCCCAGACUCCGACGGGAGGCAGCAGUAGGGAAUCUUCCACAAUGGGCGAAAGCCUGAUGGAGCAAUGCCGCGUGAGUGAUGAAGGUUUUCGGAUCGUAAGGCUCUGUUGCCAGGGAAGAACGUCCGGGUGAGUAACUGCACCCGGAGUGACGGUACCUGAGAAGAAAGCCCCGGCUAACUACGUGCCAGCCGCCGCAGUAA
Molecule: ribosomal RNA, 516 nt
Filed under: uncultured bacterium
Lineage: Bacteria
Description: partial 16S ribosomal RNA
Rfam family: Bacterial small subunit ribosomal RNA
Source: RNAcentral